Molecule: ribosomal RNA, 477 nt
Filed under: Epiplatys aff. multifasciatus 2002
Lineage: Eukaryota; Metazoa; Chordata; Actinopteri; Cyprinodontiformes; Nothobranchiidae
Description: partial 16S ribosomal RNA
Rfam family: Bacterial large subunit ribosomal RNA
Source: RNAcentral
AACGGCCGCGGUAUUUUGACCGUGCAAAGGUAGCGCAAUCAAUUGUCUUUUAAAUGAAGGCCCGUAUGAAUGGCACAACGAGGGCUUAACUGUCUCCUUUUUUCAGUCAAUGAAAUUGAUCUUCCCGUGCAGAAGCGGGAAUUUUUACAUAAGACGAGAAGACCCUAUGGAGCUUACAAACGCAAGAGUAGACCAUGUCACUAACUCUAGUUUAAAUAUAAUAAAACUAAAUGAUUACUGCUCUCAUGUUUUUGGUUGGGGCGACCACGGAGUAAAAAUAACCCUCCAUGAAGAACGAAAAUACAUCAUUUUCCUAUUUAAGAGAAACAACCCUAAAAAUCAGAAUUUCUGACUUUACUGAUCCGGCAAAGCCGAUUUACGAACCGAGUUACCCUAGGGAUAACAGCGCAAUCCUCUUUUAGAGUCCCUAUCGACAAGAGGGUUUACGACCUCGAUGUUGGACCAGGACAUCCUAAU